RNAcentral lists this transfer RNA (67 nucleotides) under Batracomorphus notatus. RNAcentral's name for it is "tRNA-Pro". Lineage: Eukaryota; Metazoa; Arthropoda; Insecta; Hemiptera; Cicadellidae. The record is from RNAcentral.
CAACAAAUAGUUUAUUUUAAAAUUUAAUUUUUGGGUAAUUAUGAAAGGGGUUUACCCUUUUGUUGAU